RNAcentral lists this ribosomal RNA (292 nucleotides) under uncultured bacterium. RNAcentral describes it as "partial 16S ribosomal RNA". The record is from RNAcentral. RNAcentral also lists the same sequence under 1 other name.
GGACUACCGGGGUAUCUAAUCCUGUUCGCUCCCCACGCUUUCGCGCCUCAGCGUCAGUAUGAUGCCAGGUGGCUGCCUUCGCCAUUGACGUUCCUUCCGAUCUCUACGCAUUUCACCGCUACACCGGAAAUUCCACCACCCUCUCAUCUACUCCAGUUAGAUAGUUUGCGAUGCACUUCCCAGGUUAAGCCCGGGGCUUUCACAUCACACACAUCUUACCGCCUACGCGCCCUUUACGCCCAGUAACUCCGAUUAACGCUCGCACCCUCUGUAUUACCGCGGCUGCUGGCAC